Molecule: ribosomal RNA, 608 nt
Filed under: uncultured bacterium
Lineage: Bacteria
Description: bacterial SSU rRNA
Rfam family: Bacterial small subunit ribosomal RNA (bases 1-522)
Source: RNAcentral
CCUACGGGAGGCAGCAGUGGGGAAUAUUGCACAAUGGGCGAAAGCCUGAUGCAGCGACGCCGCGUGAGGGAUGACGGCCUUCGGGUUGUAAACCUCUUUCAGCAGGGAAGAAGCGAAAGUGACGGUACCUGCAGAAGAAGCGCCGGCUAACUACGUGCCAGCAGCCGCGGUAAUACGUAGGGCGCAAGCGUUGUCCGGAAUUAUUGGGCGUAAAGAGCUCGUAGGCGGCUUGUCACGUCGGUUGUGAAAGCCCGGGGCUUAACCCCGGGUCUGCAGUCGAUACGGGCAGGCUAGAGUGUGGUAGGGGAGAUCGGAAUUCCUGGUGUAGCGGUGAAAUGCGCAGAUAUCAGGAGGAACACCGGUGGCGAAGGCGGAUCUCUGGGCCAUUACUGACGCUGAGGAGCGAAAGCGUGGGGAGCGAACAGGAUUAGAUACCCUGGUAGUCCACGCCGUAAACGGUGGGAACUAGGUGUUGGCGACAUUCCACGUCGUCGGUGCCGCAGCUACGCAUACGUUCCCGUCCCGGGCGGUACGGCCGCGACGACGUAAACUUAAAGUAAGUUAGACGGCGNGAGACGUGCCGAACGGACGACGACGAGGGAGGUAGG